RNAcentral lists this ribosomal RNA (758 nucleotides) under Acinetobacter sp. Its description in RNAcentral is "bacterial SSU rRNA". It matches the Rfam family "Bacterial small subunit ribosomal RNA", at positions 67 to 821 of the family's 1533-position model. Lineage: Bacteria; Pseudomonadati; Pseudomonadota; Gammaproteobacteria; Moraxellales; Moraxellaceae. The record is from RNAcentral.
CGGGGAAGGGUAGCUUGCUACUUUACCUAGCGGCGGACGGGUGAGAAUGCUUAGGAAUCUGCCUAUUAGUGGGGGACAACAUUUGAAAGGAAUGCUAAUACCGCAUACGUCCUACGGGAGAAAGCAGGGGACCUUCGGGCCUUGCGCUAAUAGAUGAGCCUAAGUCGGAUUAGCUAGUUGGUGGGGUAAAGGCCUACCAAGGCGACGAUCUGUAGCGGGUCUGAGAGGAUGAUCCGCCACACUGGGACUGAGACACGGCCCAGACUCCUACGGGAGGCAGCAGUGGGGAAUAUUGGACAAUGGGGGGAACCCUGAUCCAGCCAUGCCGCGUGUGUGAAGAAGGCCUUUUGGUUGUAAAGCACUUUAAGCGAGGAGGAGGCUACCGAGAUUAAUACUCUUGGAUAGUGGACGUUACUCGCAGAAUAAGCACCGGCUAACUCUGUGCCAGCAGCCGCGGUAAUACAGAGGGUGCGAGCGUUAAUCGGAUUUACUGGGCGUAAAGCGUGCGUAGGCGGCUUUUUAAGUCGGAUGUGAAAUCCCUGAGCUUAACUUAGGAAUUGCAUUCGAUACUGGGAAGCUAGAGUAUGGGAGAGGAUGGUAGAAUUCCAGGUGUAGCGGUGAAAUGCGUAGAGAUCUGGAGGAAUACCGAUGGCGAAGGCAGCCAUCUGGCCUAAUACUGACGCUGAGGUACGAAAGCAUGGGGAGCAAACAGGAUUAGAUACCCUGGUAGUCCAUGCCGUAAACGAUGUCUACUAGCC